Vespa mandarinia (Asian giant hornet) is the source of this 227-nucleotide long non-coding RNA. NCBI's taxonomy places the organism in Eukaryota, Metazoa, Arthropoda, Insecta, Hymenoptera, Vespidae. The record is from RefSeq and is a predicted model, not a curated record.
UAACGUGAUCGGUCAACAAUAUUGACUUCUUUGUAACCUUGAGUACUUGUGUAUUCUGUUUAGCGUCUAUCAGUCGCAAUUAGAUCGUAGCAGGAUGAACAUCGUACGAGUCAUAAGCGUUAUAACCUAAAUUAUAUUGUAUUUUAUAUUAAUACAAGAGGUCGGUGGGCGGGGAUGAGAUGGGAGCAAAGAAGAAGAAGAAUAAAAAAAUAAUAAGAAGAAAAAGA